GGAGGAAUAGCGAAGUGGCUAAACGCGGCGGUCUGUAAAACCGCUCUCUCUGAGUUCGGUGGUUCGAAUCCACUUUCCUCCAU
Molecule: transfer RNA, 83 nt
Filed under: Lactobacillus delbrueckii subsp. bulgaricus
Lineage: Bacteria; Bacillati; Bacillota; Bacilli; Lactobacillales; Lactobacillaceae
Description: tRNA-Tyr
Rfam family: tRNA
About the family: Transfer RNA (tRNA) molecules are approximately 80 nucleotides in length. Their secondary structure includes four short double-helical elements and three loops (D, anti-codon, and T loops).
Source: RNAcentral